RNAcentral lists this ribosomal RNA (716 nucleotides) under uncultured soil bacterium. RNAcentral's name for it is "bacterial SSU rRNA". It matches the Rfam family "Bacterial small subunit ribosomal RNA", at positions 31 to 756 of the family's 1533-position model. The record is from RNAcentral.
GAACGCUGGCGGCGUGCCUAACACAUGCAAGUCGAGCGAUGCGAUUCUUCGGAAUCAAUUAGCGGCGGACGGGUGAGUAACACGUGGGUAACCUGCCUCAAAGAGGGGAAUAGCCUCCCGAAAGGGAGAUUAAUACCGCAUAAUAUGUUUUGAUCGCAUGAUCUUAACAUCAAAGGAAAUUCUUCGGAAAUUCCACUUUGAGAUGGACCCGCGGCGCAUUAGCUAGUUGGUGAGGUAAAGGCCCACCAAGGCAACGAUGCGUAGCCGACCUGAGAGGGUGAUCGGCCACAUUGGAACUGAGACACGGUCCAGACUCCUACGGGAGGCAGCAGUGGGGAAUAUUGCGCAAUGGGGGAAACCCUGACGCAGCAACGCCGCGUGAAUGAUGAAGGCCUUCGGGUUGUAAAGUUCUGUCUUCUGGGACGAUAAUGACGGUACCAGAGGAGGAAGCCACGGCUAACUACGUGCCAGCAGCCGCGGUAAUACGUAGGUGGCAAGCGUUGUCCGGAUUUACUGGGCGUAAAGGAUGCGUAGGCGGACAUUUAAGUCAGAUGUGAAAUACCCGAGCUUAACUUGGGUGCUGCAUUUGAAACUGGGUGUCUAGAGUGCAGGAGAGGUAAGUGGAAUUCCUAGUGUAGCGGUGAAAUGCGUAGAGAUUAGGAAGAACACCAGUGGCGAAGGCGACUUACUGGACUGUAACUGACGCUGAGGCAUGA